AUACCUCUCAGGGACUCGGAACGAGGGCUGGGGGGCAGCAAUCUCCCCCCAACUUAACCUCUAGUACCCCUCGGAUUUCUAAUUGCAUUAUAUCUUGUUUAUUUAUUGAUCUAUUCAUUUAUUUGCUCAACAACGUUUAUCGAGUGCCUACUUUGGGUCAGCCCCUUGCUUGAAGUGGUGAACAGCAGACAUGUUUCUGCCAUGAUGGAGCUCACAGUCCAGCAGGGAAAACAGGUGCUAAGUACGUAAUGAUGCUGAACUGUGAUGCUGCAUUAUGCAUUGUGCACACACGGAUACUCAUCUUUUAAAUUCAGUUUAGACAUCGUCUCCUCCAGGCAGUCUCUCCAGAUUCUCCUGGUUGCGUUAGGCACCGUCCUAUGUGCCCUGCUGGCAUCCUAUAAAUGUCUCUGUCCUACCACUUCACACACUGUGCUGCCACUGUAGAUGAGGCUGUCUUCCACCUUCCCUACAGUGAAUGGUGGGCUUCAGAGGCGCCAGGAUCGUCUCAUUUCCUUCUUAAUCCCUAGCUCAGUUCCUGGUACAUAAUAGAGUCCAAUAAAUGCGAAGUAAAAGGCUGACUGAAGAAACAUUUUCUUUAUUGGGUCUUUCCAAGGAGGGUCCCAAUAAAUGUCACUUCUGAACGAUUUAAGAAAUAAUUCAGGAGUAAAGACACAGACCGAAUACGACCUUUAGGAGUGCUGGAGGCUCUGUUGGAGGAUGUAGCUUAGCUGAGGACCAAAUGGGGCUGCCAGGGAGCCACAGCAGUAGGCAGAUGCCCACCCAGGUGAGGGGCCCUAGGGGCCGGGAGGGGGUGGCUGAAGCGCAGCGGAGCGUGCUCCCCGGUGGGGGGUGGGGAGUGGGGGGCGGGGAGUUGUUCCUCGCUUGUCCAGUCAACCUCCCAGAUCGACCCCGAGAGAAAGGGCCCCGCCCCCAGGGGCAGAAGGUGCUGAUGGGGGAGAGAGGUCCGGAACAUAGAGGCCGCGCUAAUUUGCCCUUUACGGGAAGGAAACACCAGACAGAUGUCAGCAAGAAAUGUUCCCUGUGACCAGCUCCACCCUUUCUCCUAUGUUUGUUCACUCUUUACAAAAGCCGAUGGAGGUGUCCCCUCAUCUACAGAGGAGGAAGACGAGGAGUGGAUACAAUGUUAAGUUUGAAGUAUGGCAGGCCUGCAUACCUUCUGGAAAUGUCCAUCACAUUUUCUUCAGCAGCCUUUAAUGGAACCAAAUUCUCCUGAGAGAAUGACACUUCCCAUUCACUGACUCCAGUAAGGAGCAUCAUUCCCAGGUACUUGACUUUGAGGAGGCUGGAGAUGAAUGAGAUGCUCAGAAGCCUAAAAGACGCAGGAGUGGUCUUUGUUCAGAGGUUGCCCACUGCCCAGUUCUCAGAGCAGACUGAAUCUCAGAGAAGGAACAUUUCCCUUACAGCUCUUGGAUGGAUGUGUUUUGAAAACAGACUUACUUCUCCAAGGAUUUGACCUGACAACUUGUUCGCCUGUGAGGGUUGGAUCUGUGUGGAAGCCUAGCCCUAAUACUGAAAAGUUUUACUUUUCUGAAGAAAGGGACUGAAAGGCAGCUACAUGUUUGGCACAGUAAUGCUAAGGCUCUGGCACAAAAUCAGUCUGUCAGAAGCUCCUUUCCUCUGGAUAGACGGACCAGUGACACUGGAUGGACUAAAGUCUUGUCUCAAAUGAAUGUAGAGCCCACUUCGGGAUUUCCAGCCCCUCUGCCUCUGGCUCCAAAGAACUGGCUUUACCAUUGACGUUGUUAACAGCAAGGUCAGUGACGGGGGAUCAAAGCCCAGGGGAGAAACUGGGGCUGGUCAAGGGGGAGCCACCUGCCACAGAGCUUGGUUUUAACAUCUGUUGUCUAGGGUCACACUUCUCCAAAAGAUACACUACUGUGGUCAAGAUCAAGGUCACAUGGAAAAGAGGUAUUCAUAAGAAAUUCAUAAUAUGUAUGUGUACAUAUAUAUGUGUGUAUAUAUAUAUAUAUGUAAAUCUGUAACAUAGCUAUUUAUAAAACAUCAAUAAACAGUGGUUGUGGCAUGUAAGAUGCUAAAGGUCCUCUUGUGCCUCAUUCUUGCUUGAUCUCAUGAUUGAUCCAUUCACCCCCAAAUUCACCCCACCCAUGAAUCCUCCUUUGUAAUUAACUAAUCUAUGAAACCUUUUAUUUUUUCUUUCAGUGCUGCUACUUUCUUUGGUACUACUUUCUUGGUUUAGAUAAAUCAUUCAGAAUAGAGCUCUGGAGUCAGACUUUCUCAGUUUAAAUUCCAAAUCCACCACAUGCUGCUGUGUGACCUAGGAAAAUUGACCUAAUUUCUCCCUGUCUCAGCUUCUACUCUGUAAAGUGGAGACUAAAAUAUAACCAUGUGGAAUUCCUGUGGGAAUUAAAGGAGGUAAUCCAUAUAGCAUUUAAAACUGUGCUUGGCAUAUUAUAACUCCUCAAUGGUAUUCAUUAUCCUUCUUAUAAUUAUCGUUAUUAAUAUUCACUUGUAGCAUUCUUUUACUCUUUAGAGACAUCGCUUUCAUGGAUUUUAUGUAGUUAGUCAAAUUUAUGGUUUAAAUGACAGCUGCAUUAAAAUUAUCUCCCCCCUUCUCCAUUCUAGGACUUUAAAGACAGCAAGUGAGCAUGGGUUGAUCUCAAGAUGAACUGGAACUGAAGAAAUCGAAAUUAGAAACCAAAUGUCCAUAUUUCAGAGAAAAGAACUUUACCAUUGAUCAGUUGCCCUGGGCAGUAAGAAACAGAUCGGGCACAAACUGGCUUAAGCUGGAAGCAAACGAAUUAGUUCACGUAGAAGGUGUCAACAGCAGGGUGGGCUUCAGGGUGGGUGGAUUCAGAGGCUUGAGGGCAUCAUUCUGUUCCUCGGUUCCAUUCUGUCUCUCCUCGCUGUCCUCCAUAGCACCGGCCUCAUGCUAAGUCUGGUUCCCUUGUGUUCGAAUGGUGGCUGCCAAUGGCAGUCGGGACACGUGUUUUCUUUCCCACCCAGGGAGGGAGAAGAAGAGGCUAGAUACCCAUGACACAUUCUUCCCUGGCGUCCCCAGGAGCCUCUGCUCAUGACUCAGGGGCCUCCCGGAGAGGAGAUGGUGGUCCCAGGCUUGCGCAGACCCAUCUGCUGGCGCGGAGUGGAUGUAGCCUCUAGGAUCACACGAAGAGGUUUCAGCUGUGCUGGGGCUUCCCCACUUUCAUGUUCCUUGAGUGUAAACUAAUGGGGCUGUUCUGUUUGUCUAUUGCUAUACAACAAAUGACCCCAAACUUAGUGGCUUGAAGAUACAGUCAUUUUAUUGUAUCUCCCAAUUUACGGGUCAUGAAUUCAGGCAGGACCCAGCUGAGAGAUGCUUCAGCAUCACAUGGCUUGGGCUGGGGUCACUCAGCGGUAUUUGGCUGGCAGCCAGGCUGGUCCGAGGGUCCUAGGAUGUCAUCACUCACAUGAUUGGCACCCUAGCGAUACUGGGGGCUGGGCUCAGGUGGGCGCCUCUCCCUCAUUGUGUGGGCCCUCUCCUUGUGGUCUCUCCAGCGGAGGAGCUGAACUUCUCACGUGGUGGCUCAGUUUGCUACACAGCUGCAAGUGACAGAGAAAUUGUGAAAUACAAGAUGAUUCCCAAUGAUUUGACAUGUCAUCUCCACUGUCCAUAAUAAACAAAAAGAAACGGGCAUUCAAUUUUAAUAAUAGAUGCUUUGUUUUUCUCCAUGCCCCCUAAAUAGAUGUGUCCAUUUUUAAAAUAUCUGUUUGAAGAGAUGCCGCUUUGCCAUACUGUCCAGGGUGCCGGCGUCGCUGGCUCACCCUGUAUGGUAUGACUGUGGGGUUAUCUUUCCUUCCCAUCACCCCUGCUUGGUCUAGGGCAUCAUCACGUCUCCCAUGCUAUCCCAGUAGCCUCCAUCUGACCCUCUGGCACCAGUCUCACCCUCUUCCACUCAUCCUCUACAUGUUUUCCAGUGUGAUUUUUCUGAAACAAAUCUGCUCAGACCAUUCUCUUGUCUAAAGUCACUAUGGGGUUCUCUUUUACCAACCAGAUAAAAUUCACUCUUGAGUAUGGCUUACAAGUUCUUUUAUAAGUUGUUCUUGUCCUGGAUCAAAUACCCUGAUUAUUACUGGAAUAUAAGUUCCAAGGAGGCAGGAAUCCUGUCUCUCUGGUUCAUUGCUUUAUCACCCUCACUGAGACCAGACCUGACACACAGAAGGUGCUUAAGAAGUAUUUGUGGGAGGAAGAGAAGGUCAGAGGAGGGAAGGAAGAAAUGAAGGAUGUUAGUUCCUACAGCGCCCUGUGCUUCUUCUAUUCAUAAUGUUCAUUUCUAGUUUAAGGCCUGGCUUCCUCAGUAGACUGUAAGUUCCAAGGGGGCGAUGAGCACACCCAGUUCCCUAUUCCUAGCACAGUGCCUGCCACAAAGUAGGUGCUAGAACAAUUUCUGAAAUAAAUGAAUUAAUAAUACGAUAAGGGCUCAUGGCACAGACACAGAGCAGGGAAAGCCUGAAGGACAGGCCAGUUGCCUCGCUGGAGUUUAGAAAUGGGAAUGGGAAGAGGGCAGGACAUGAACGAGUCCUUGGAAGGCAAUGCCAGUGGCUUCUGAUUCGGGGCCCUGGCUCAUGGGAGUCUGGGUAAUUGGUCACCUUUAAGCCUGUGGCUCUAGGGGGUUGAGUCCUGUGCUCAGUCCUCAUAUCCCUUUCGUGCAUCCAAUUUUCUCUUUUGGCACAGGUAUCCAACCCUGCUAGUUUUUUUCCAUGAGAGCGAAUCUUCUGAAGUGAAGUAUGGACUGCCUUGUCUCAACCUCCUGGAAUAUGACCUCAUUCCUUCCCCCGCUGGGUCCACUCAUUAAGCAGCCUGCCCAUCCUGCUCCAUCAGGCAGCCUGCCAGGCAUGCACUUGGCAUAGGAGUCCCAGUUCAGGGCCAAGGCAGCCUUUACUGUUUAAGAGCGUGGACUUUGGAGUUAAGCAGACCAGGGUUUGGAGCCUGAAUCCAUCACUCACUAGCGGUGUGGUCUUGGGCAAGUUUCUUAUCUCUCUGAGCCUUGACUUCAUUAUCUGUAAAGUGGAACCAACAAAAGUGCCUAAUUCAUAAUGUAUUUGUGAGGAUCAAAUUAAAUAAUCCAUGAGCCUACCCCAGAGAGAGCUUCAUAAAUGUUGAGCAUUACUUUUCUACUCAAGAACUUCUCUUGCCCUUUGGCAGGUCAUGAAUUUCCCUGGGAUGGAGCAGUGGUGGAGGGAGAAAGGGGGGAGGGGAAUUGGCACGUAUUGAGCACCUAUGAUGUACCAGGUGCCGCACUGACAUAUCUGCGAGACUUGUCUCCCCCAAACCACAUGACAACCGCGUGUUGUCGAGUGAACAUCAGCCCCAUUUUCCAGUGGAAGGGAUGCAGAUUGUAGAGUCGACAAACCUGGGUUGGAAUCCAGGUUCUGAAACUCACUUGCCAUGUAAGUCAGGGCAAUGCCCUUCCCCUCUUGGGGCCUCGGUUCCCCAGCAGUUGUGGCAAUUCCUGUCUGGUAGGCUUGCUGUGCAGGUUUUACAAGCGAACACUGUGUAAAAACACUCAGCCAGAUGAUGCUUAGUUCAUGUGCUUUAUUCCCACGAGAGCCCCUGGUUGAGAGCUGGGCUUGAAUGGAGAGGGGGAAAACAUGGAGAUAUGCCAGGAAGGGGACCCCAGGGCAUGAGGAUUCUGGAGGGGACACACUUCUCUUACUCCCUGAGAAGUGGGCUGCUAUUAACACCAUGAGUGGACUUCCCCGUUGGACUGGCAAAAAGAUUCAGAUGCCAGCUGGCUCCAUCCCCUACCUUUCUGGGCCCAGGACCUGAGAA
Molecule: non-coding RNA, 5788 nt
Organism: Equus caballus (horse)
Lineage: Eukaryota; Metazoa; Chordata; Mammalia; Perissodactyla; Equidae
Source: RefSeq, a predicted model, not a curated record